Molecule: ribosomal RNA, 253 nt
Filed under: uncultured bacterium
Lineage: Bacteria
Description: partial 16S ribosomal RNA
Rfam family: Bacterial small subunit ribosomal RNA
Source: RNAcentral
UACGGAGGGUGCAAGCGUUGUUCGGAAUCACUGGGCGUAAAGGGCGUGUAGGUGGCUAAGUAAGUCAGGUGUGAAAUCCUUCCGCUUAACGGGAGAAGUGCACUUGAAACUGCUUAGCUAGAGUACGGGAGAGGAAGGUGGAAUUCCUGGUGUAGAGGUGAAAUUCAUAGAUAUCGGGAAGAACACCGGUGGCGAAGGCGGCCUUCUGGCCCGAUACUGACGCUGAGACGCGAAAGCGUGGGGAGCAAACAGG